Molecule: ribosomal RNA, 253 nt
Filed under: uncultured bacterium
Lineage: Bacteria
Description: partial 16S ribosomal RNA
Rfam family: Bacterial small subunit ribosomal RNA
Source: RNAcentral
GACGGAGGAUGCAAGCGUUAUCCGGAAUGAUUGGGCGUAAAGCGUCCGCAGGUGGCAGUUCAAGUCUGCUGUCAAAGACCGGGGCUUAACUUCGGAAAGGCAGUGGAAACUGAACAGCUAGAGUAUGGUAGGGGCAGAGGGAAUUCCUGGUGUAGCGGUGAAAUGCGUAGAGAUCAGGAAGAACAUCGGUGGCGAAGGCGCUCUGCUGGACCAUAACUGACGAUCAGGCACGAAAGCGUGGGGAGCAAACAGG